GACGGAGGAUGCAAGUGUUAUCCGGAAUCACUGGGCGUAAAGCGUCUGUAGGUGGUCAAAUAAGUCAACUGUUAAAUCUUGAGGCUCAACCUCAAAAUCGCAGUCGAAACUAUUAGACUAGAGUAUAGUAGGGGUAAGGGGAAUUUCCAGUGGAGCGGUGAAAUGCGUAGAGAUUGGAAAGAACACCGAUGGCGAAGGCACUUUACUGGGCUAUUACUAACACUCAGAGACGAAAGCUAGGGUAGCAAAUGGGG
RNAcentral lists this ribosomal RNA (254 nucleotides) under uncultured bacterium. RNAcentral's name for it is "partial 16S ribosomal RNA". It matches the Rfam family "Bacterial small subunit ribosomal RNA", at positions 524 to 777 of the family's 1533-position model. The record is from RNAcentral.